GUUCAAAUGAUUUUUAUAGUUUGUUCUUAUGUUGUACUGGAACACCACUUUACCAGGUUAGGAGAGAGUUAGCGCCUUCAAACUAUCUUAACCCCGCUACAUAAUGUACAUGCAUGUGCCUGUCCCAAGUCGUGGGCCUGUAAGUCAUUGGUUGUCUUUUGUUGCUGUAUAUAAUUUCAUUUUCGUUUUUAUUUAUUUUGUUCAUACAUCGGGCCUUGAGUUUUCUCGUUUGAAUUGUUUUACAUUUGUCAAUUUGGGAUUUUGUAUAGCUGACUAUGCGGUAUAGGGUUUGCUGAUGUUCCUCGUGUUCAUAUCCGUACGGUGACCUAUAGUUGUUAAUUUCUGUAUCACUGGCCUCUUGUGGCGAGUUGUCUCAUUUCCAUGCAUACCUUAUUUGUA
RNAcentral lists this long non-coding RNA (399 nucleotides) under Mytilus galloprovincialis (Mediterranean mussel). The record is from RNAcentral. Lineage: Eukaryota; Metazoa; Mollusca; Bivalvia; Mytilida; Mytilidae.